UACGUAGGCAGCGAGCGUUGUUCGGAGUUACUGGGCGUAAAGGGUGUGUAGGCGGCCUCUUAAGUUUGGUGUGAAAUCUCCCGGCUCAACUGGGAGGGUGCGCCGAAUACUGAGUGACUAGAGUGCGGGAGAGGAAAGUGGAAUUCCUGGUGUAGCGGUGAAAUGCGUAGAUAUCAGGAGGAACACCGGUGGUGUAGACGGCUUUCUGGACCGUAACUGACGCUGAGACACGAAAGCGUGGGUAGCAAACAGG
This 253-nucleotide ribosomal RNA is filed under the name uncultured bacterium. Its description in RNAcentral is "partial 16S ribosomal RNA". It matches the Rfam family "Bacterial small subunit ribosomal RNA", at positions 524 to 776 of the family's 1533-position model. The record is from RNAcentral.